UGGGGAAUUUUGCGCAAUGGGGGAAACCCUGACGCAGCAACGCCGCGUGGAGGAUGAAGCCCCUUGGGGUGUAAACUCCUUUCGAUCGGGACGAUUAUGACGGUGCCGGAUGAAGAAGCACCGGCUAACUCUGUGCCAGCAGCCGCGGUAAUACAGAGGGUGCAAGCGUUGUUCGGAAUUAUUGGGCGUAAAGGGUGCGUAGGCGGUGCGGUAAGUCUUCUGUGAAAUCUCCGGGCUCAACCCGGAGCCUGCAGAGGAAACUGCCGUGCUGGAGUAUGGGAGAGGUGAGUGGAAUUCCCGGUGUAGCGGUGAAAUGCGUAGAUAUCGGGAAGAACACCUGUGGCGAAAGCGGCUCACUGGACCAUUACUGACGCUGAUGCACGAAAGCUAGGGGAGCAAACAGGAUUAGAUACCCUGGUAGUCCUAGCCCUAAACGAUGAUCGCUUGGUGUGACAGGUACCCAAUCCUGUUGUGCCGGAGCUAACGCGUUAAGCGAUCCGCCUGGGGGGUACGGUCGCAAGGCUG
This 525-nucleotide ribosomal RNA is filed under the name uncultured bacterium. Its description in RNAcentral is "bacterial SSU rRNA". It matches the Rfam family "Bacterial small subunit ribosomal RNA", at positions 355 to 896 of the family's 1533-position model. The record is from RNAcentral.